CUCCUCCUCCUCCUCCUCCUCCUCCUCCUCUUCCCUGCCUGGGUGAAACUCGAGCGCCCCACCCGCGCCUGACCUCCCCGAGCCCCUCCCCGAGCCCCUCCCCGGGCCCCGCCCCUUCCCGGUACAGGACCCCCACCUUCGCUCCUGGGAGCCCCGCUGCACCCCAGGAGUUCCAUUCCAGGCUCCCUAGUGCGAGUGCGGCCGAGCGCUGACUUUUGGGGGCUCCCUCCUCCGUCUCACUGAGUCCCUCUGCGGCUCCCCCGCCGGCUGUCCCGGCUCAGACGUGGCUGCACCCCGGAGGGGGGCGCCGGCCGAGACCUGAGACGUGGCGCUCCCGCUCUGCCGGCCUCGGCUUCAGUGCUUGAAUUUCAGCCACAUCCCUAAGCUGCCAUCUCAGACCAGAGGAAGAAGGAGGGGGGCUUUCUGGAAAGAACAUCACCUGGAAGAAAUCAGGACAUAACUGUGGGCCAUGAGUGACCUUCAAAGGAAAGCCGGGUAUCUGUGGCUUUUAAGAUGUGAUCCAUAACAUUUAAAAACUGAAGAAAUGAAAAGAUCAUCUGAUCAGUCCCAUCAGUCUUUUUCCUAAUGCUAAACAUUGGUACAAAGAUGUGAAAUUUGAUGUCUCACUAAGAUUGCCUAGUGCUGCUUUAUUGCUCACCUACUUCAAAGUAUUGGGAAAACAUGAUUAUGGGUACAGGUGAUGCUCUGUUGCCCCCAAACAGGUUUCUUUUGUCAGGUUCUUUUGAUGGAUUAGGAAUCUACAAGUGGGGAGAUUUUAGGGAAAUUGCCCCUCCACUUGGAUUUCACCAAAACGUCUUUAGGGUUCUCUUACCCCAAGAAACACGCAUUCCUCUUUAGUGUGGCAGCCCACUCUAUUGGCAAAGUUAAGCAGACCAGUUUUAUUUAAAAAGAGCCACCCAGAAACUUGGACAGAAAAUACUUGAGGCACAGAUGAGAAUGAGCACAAAUGUGCAUAGCAAGUGCAGUUUCCUGGCCCUUAAACUGAAGGGCCAGGUCAGUCUGCUCCUCCAGGCACAUCCUGGGACCCCAUCAUGUGCCCCACUCUGCAGUCUGAGCUUCCACUCAAGUCCUCCAGGGCCUGCCUCACAUACAUAAACAAGACCCAAUGUCAGAGUCUGCCUCUGCCCGUGUCUGGUCAAAGGGUUGCACUUUGCCACUGCUACAUGUUCCCAGAGGUUGGCACAGCGUGACCUGGACCUCUCCUAAUCCAGGCAAACUCUGCUCAUCUUUGAGCUCUCUGGAACCCGUUUCUCAAGGGAGACCACAUUCUCCCAUCUCACAGCCACGUUCAAGGCAGCAGCCUGGUUAAAGCAAUGACUCAAGGAUACCAGAAGCAGACCACACAUUUAACAAGAUGUGCUGACUCGCAGGAGCAGCUGACUCUUCUUAAGAAGAGUUUACUGAUUCUUCUUUCAGUACAGGCCUUUUAAUAAGAUAUUGUGUUUUACUUCAGCUAUGGGUGCAGACAAUUAAAGGAUUCUAGAAAUCUGAAAGUGUUUUGCCUUGUCCUCUUGGUUAAAUUUCUGGACAUAUUGUCUAGCAACUCAAUUUGCUUAAACAAAAUUGUUGUGUCAAAAAAGCCCAAGUCAUCUUUUAUAAGUAUGGUCUGGGGAGAAGAAAAAAAAAUGCUAAGUUUAAAAGAUUUUUGGAAUAUCUGAAGAAAAUACAGAUAGCUUGUAAUGGAGAUAAAGCCUCUGGAUGGUUUCCAGGGUGUUAUUUUCUGACAUUGAGUCUUGUAUAUAUCUUGAAUGUCUAUAAGCAAAGAAUGGCCAUACUUUUUUAAAAAGAUAUGUUUUAUACUUAUU
RNAcentral lists this long non-coding RNA (1826 nucleotides) under Pongo abelii (Sumatran orangutan). RNAcentral describes it as "lincRNA". The record is from RNAcentral. Lineage: Eukaryota; Metazoa; Chordata; Mammalia; Primates; Hominidae.